GGGUUUGAUGUUUUUGCUUCUUUUAUUUCUCUAGUUUUUGGUGCUAUCUUGUAGUUGUGUUGCUCAUUGUUUGGCACUUUGUUGGUGGCCAUUUUGGAGAACACUUUUGUAACUCUUGUUGAUUAUAGUAGAGCUUUGGCCUUGUGGUUUUUACUCUUCACACCGAAGAGGUUUUCCACAUUAAACUUUGGUGUCUCGUGUGUUGAUUUAUUUUUCUUGCUUGG
RNAcentral lists this long non-coding RNA (224 nucleotides) under Solanum tuberosum (potato). RNAcentral's name for it is "long non-coding RNA (STUB_LNC005532)". Lineage: Eukaryota; Viridiplantae; Streptophyta; Magnoliopsida; Solanales; Solanaceae. The record is from RNAcentral.